CCGCGGCCCCGAUUGACGCGAAAAUCCUUUUGCGGCCGAGCGCCAGCGAGGCCGUAAAAGAUUGCAGCAGAAAGCGGGAAAUGUC
RNAcentral lists this small RNA (85 nucleotides) under Flavobacterium caeni. RNAcentral's name for it is "Flavo-1 RNA". It matches the Rfam family "Flavo-1 RNA". The record is from Rfam by way of RNAcentral. Lineage: Bacteria; Pseudomonadati; Bacteroidota; Flavobacteriia; Flavobacteriales; Flavobacteriaceae.